GUCGGGAUUGGUUCAAGGAAUGUUGAGCGGGUCUUAA
RNAcentral lists this transfer RNA (37 nucleotides) under Coffea arabica (coffee). RNAcentral's name for it is "partial tRNA-Phe". The record is from RNAcentral. Lineage: Eukaryota; Viridiplantae; Streptophyta; Magnoliopsida; Gentianales; Rubiaceae.